This 207-nucleotide ribosomal RNA is filed under the name uncultured bacterium. RNAcentral describes it as "partial 16S ribosomal RNA". It matches the Rfam family "Bacterial small subunit ribosomal RNA", at positions 568 to 774 of the family's 1533-position model. The record is from RNAcentral.
AGCGUAGGCGGCGCGGUAAGUCAGAUGUGAAAUCCCGGGGCUCAACCCCGGAACUGCAUCCGAUACUGCCGUGCUAGAGGAUUGGAGAGGUAGCUGGAAUUCACGGUGUAGCAGUGAAAUGCGUAGAUAUCGUGAGGAACACCUAUGGCGAAAGCAAGCUACUGGACAACUCCUGACGCUGAGGCUCGAAGGCCAGGGUAGCGAAAG